UCAGCCUGUUGUGGUGUGGUGUUGUGCUGUUGUGGUGUUGUGGUAGUGGGGUGUUGUGGUGGUGUGGUGGUGGGGUGUUGUGGUGGUGGGGUGUUGUGGUGGUGGGGUGUGUCCAUCAGCGACUGUAUCCUUCUGUCAGCCUGUUGUGGUGGUGGUGUGGUGUGGUAGUGGGGUGUUGUGGUGUUGUGGUGGUGGGGUGUUGUGGUGUUGUGGUGGUGGUGUGUUGUUGCGGUUUUGUAGUAUUGUGGUGA
RNAcentral lists this long non-coding RNA (251 nucleotides) under Phasianus colchicus (ring-necked pheasant). RNAcentral describes it as "lncRNA (ENSPCLG00000017513.1)". The record is from RNAcentral. Lineage: Eukaryota; Metazoa; Chordata; Aves; Galliformes; Phasianidae.